GUCUUUGUGGUGUAAUGGUCAGCGCACUCGGCGCGUAUUCGAGAGGUCCGAGGUUCGAAUCUCGCCAAGGGCA
RNAcentral lists this transfer RNA (73 nucleotides) under Stegodyphus mimosarum. It matches the Rfam family "tRNA". Rfam says of the family: Transfer RNA (tRNA) molecules are approximately 80 nucleotides in length. The record is from Rfam by way of RNAcentral. Lineage: Eukaryota; Metazoa; Arthropoda; Arachnida; Araneae; Eresidae.